Molecule: transfer RNA, 63 nt
Filed under: Heterocephalus glaber (naked mole-rat)
Lineage: Eukaryota; Metazoa; Chordata; Mammalia; Rodentia; Bathyergidae
Rfam family: tRNA
About the family: Transfer RNA (tRNA) molecules are approximately 80 nucleotides in length.
Source: Rfam by way of RNAcentral
UGGGGUGUAGCUCAGUGGUUGAGUGCUUGGCUCACAUGCAAGAGGCCAUGGGUUUCACCCCUA